Molecule: long non-coding RNA, 1860 nt
Filed under: Carassius auratus (goldfish)
Lineage: Eukaryota; Metazoa; Chordata; Actinopteri; Cypriniformes; Cyprinidae
Description: lncRNA (ENSCARG00000040824.1)
Source: RNAcentral
AUGGUCCUUCGAGCCGGAGCCCAGAUUUACUACGGAGAAAUGUCACAGCAUGAAGAGGAUGAGCCGGUCGUGCGUGCCAGGAGGAAGACAGUCCUCCCCGUGCGAUAUGAAGAUUAUAAUCUCAGCGGCUUCACUCUCCCAAAGCUGUUUCCUGAAUGCAUGUCACCACAUUCUCAGCUUCAUCCUACAGUGCCUCCCAGCCUAGAACCAGAGGACUGUGCACGUGCAACUGGGAUCACUCCACAACAGUUACCGCACAAAGAGCUUGAUAACCCUCUACAGUGGUCUGACGAUGAACCAUGGGGCUCUGAAACCAGCAUCCUCCAGCGAGAAAAUAGGGACCUAAGACUUGCCCAUGACAAUCUGCUACAGACCCUGCAGACAAUGCAGCAAGAAAGGGACACGUUUCAACAAGCUACAGAUCGGUAUUCACAAGAACUUUCUCAGUUAAAACAACAAAUGCAGCAGCUACAGAUUCAAAUGGUGCAGCAACAGCCUGCAGAACAGUUUUCUCCACCGGUCACUCCUACGCGACCUGUACCUGCACCACGCCGUUUGUUGAGAACACAACAGAGUGAUAAGAGCAUUGCACCACUGUCAGCCCCACGAGUCAGGCCUGCUGAGUCAGAUCAGCCUGAGCACAGUUCUGAAACAUUCUUAGCUCCAACCGCUGUCCCCAGCACAAAGCCUACCUUGCCGUACCAUACAUCACAUUCUGAAAAUGUCAAGUGGGAUGAAUCAAGGGUGGAAAGAACCUAUUAUUCCAGGGCUGAGAUGCCUGACAGGCUGAGUUGUACAUCAUAUGAGCCAGAGUCAGCAGUCCCUCCAUCCUUCGGGUCUCCCAGACGCUCUCACCUGCCAUGCAGAGCAUCCAGUCCGGUUCCGCCCGAGCUAGAGCAGAUGUACCGAGGUCCAACCCCCACAAUUCCAGACUUCGUAUAUCCAAACCCUAGAGAAUUCUCGCGGCUCAAGAUAGCUCUGGAAAAUAUUCUGCCAGCUACAGCCACUGAAAGAUUCAAAUUCCAAAUACUUACUGAUCACCUCAAACUAGAGGAGGCCCAGCUUAUCGCCGACUCAUACAGCCAUUCACAACAACCUUUCACAAAGACCAUGGCAGCACUGGAUCAGCAAUACGGACAGCCACAUCAGCUCGCAUUGCAACGCAUAGCAGAGCUCAUGGAUGGUCCAAACAUAGCCAGUGGGGACAUUAAAACAUUCCGACUCUUCGCCCUCAAGGUUCGUUCCCUCGUCGGCAUGUUAGAACAACUAGGAAAGAAGGGCACCUUUGAGUUGCAGUGCGGCUCUCAUGUCUCCCGGCUCCUAGGGAAGCUGCCGCACGAUCUCAGGUCAAGUUUUCGGCGCUUUGCACAUCCCUACCAAGUGCCAAUCCCCACCCUUCUUGAUCUGUCAGAGUGGCUAGAGUAUGAAAUUCAAGUGCAGGAGGACACAACAAGGUUUGCAGGAGCCGGUCGUCGUGGAUAUCCAGCACGACCACGAGAAGUGAUCAGAGACCCCAAGCCAUUCACUAAAAGUGCCACCAUUCUGCUUGGCACAGAGAAAGCACCUCCAUUGACAAAGAUGAUACCUACGGCCAACAAGCCUGUUUUAACCCCUUACUGCCCUUACUGUGACCACCACAAACACUCCCUCAACAACUGCAACAAUUUUAAGCUGCUUACCAUAGACCAGAAACGGAACUGGAUCAAAGACUGCAACAGAUGCUGCCGCUGUGGAAGGAAUCAUCAAGCUUCAGAGUGCAAUCUGAGAAUGCGCUGCAAACAGUGUAAUAGCCGUCACCUUCUGGUCCUUCAUGACAUCAAUCUCAGGAGUGAAGACCUCCCAAAGACUAACCCCAAAUGA